AUUGAACGCUGGCGGCAUGCCUUACACAUGCAAGUCGAACGGCAGCACGGACUUCGGUCUGGUUGCGAGUGGCGAACGGGUGAGUAAUGUAUCGGAACGUACCUCUCAGUGGGGGAUAACGUAGCGAAAGUUACGCUAAUACCGCAUAUUCUGUGAGCAGGAAAGCAGGGGAUCGAAAGACCUUGCGCUGGUUGAGCGGCCGAUAUCAGAUUAGCUAGUUGGUGGGGUAAAGGCCUACCAAGGCGACGAUCUGUAGCGGGUCUGAGAGGAUGAUCGGCCACACUGGAACUUAGACACGGUCCAGACUCCUACGGGAGGCAGCAGUGGGGAAUGUUGGACAAUGGGGGCAACCCUGAUCCAGCCAUGCCGCGUGAGUGAAGAAGGCCUUCGGGUUGUAAAGCUCUUUCGGCGGGGAAGAAACCGCAUAGGCUAAUACCCUGUGUGGAUGACGGUACCGGAAUAAGAAGCACCGGCUAACUACGUG
This 484-nucleotide ribosomal RNA is filed under the name uncultured bacterium. RNAcentral describes it as "partial 16S ribosomal RNA". It matches the Rfam family "Bacterial small subunit ribosomal RNA", at positions 30 to 507 of the family's 1533-position model. The record is from RNAcentral.